This is a long non-coding RNA of Mytilus californianus (California mussel), 433 nucleotides long. RefSeq lists it as uncharacterized. Lineage: Eukaryota; Metazoa; Mollusca; Bivalvia; Mytilida; Mytilidae. The record is from RefSeq and is a predicted model, not a curated record. The transcript has 3 exons.
AUAUGUACAAAAUAUAUGCCUGACUGCUCUAGGAGUACAAAGAACCAACUUAAGAAAUCCAAAUCGGUUAUAAAUACGGAUUUGUAAGCAUUAUGGCUAGUACUUCCUGGUUAAUUAUAUAGAACAGUGGACACAAUGUGAUGUUGUACAUGUAAUUGCUGCAAUGAAGAUGAUUUUAAAGAUAGCACUAUUAUCAAUCAUCACUGCGACCUUUAUUGUGACAGUAGCAGCGCAAAUAAAUCUUGCAUCACAAGGGUUAGCCUUACAACGCACAACUUUUCCAGGACGUUUUGCAAGGCUUGCAAUAGAAGGACCUGCAAAUAAUAAGAAGGCUGACGGAUGCGCUAAUACAGAUAAAGAUCAGAUUUACGCUUGGUGGGGCCUACAACUUCCAGCAGUUGCCCAUAUGACAAACAUUGUGAUCUACUUCCGA